This 402-nucleotide ribosomal RNA is filed under the name Limisphaerales bacterium. RNAcentral's name for it is "Verrucomicrobia subdivision 3 bacterium (hot springs metagenome) partial 23S ribosomal RNA". It matches the Rfam family "Bacterial large subunit ribosomal RNA", at positions 2536 to 2925 of the family's 2925-position model. The record is from RNAcentral. Lineage: Bacteria; Pseudomonadati; Verrucomicrobiota; Verrucomicrobiia; Limisphaerales.
CUCAUCGCAUCCUGGGGCUGGAGAAGGUCCCAAGGGUCCGGCUGUUCGCCGGUUAAAGCGGUACGCGAGCUGGGUUCAGAACGUCGUGAGACAGUUCGGUCCUUAUCCACUGUGGGCGUAGGAGGCUUGAGGGGUUCCUUCCUUAGUACGAGAGGGCCGGGAAGGACGCACUUCUGGUGUGGCAGUUGUUCCGUCAGGAGCAGCGCUGCGUAGCCAUGUGCGGAAGAGAUAAGCGCUGAAAGCAUCUAAGCGCCAAGCUCCUCCCAAGAUAUGGCCUCCCUCCCGCGCAAGCGGGACUGAAGACCCCCGGAAGACCACCGGGUUGAUAGGUCAGGCGUGUAAGCGCGGUGACGCGUUUAGCGGACUGAUACUAAUAGGUCGUGCGGCUUGAUCGCGCUCAUC